AGUUUCUAUACCUAAUUAAAAACACAUUACAGAAUUGAAAGGGACUUCACCCUUAGCCAUCCCUCUCAAAAGGAACUUCACCUCAGAACCUCCAUCAACCUCCGACUCUGCCAUCGUCCCGCCGUCAACCUCCGCAGUAGAACCUCCAACUCUAUAACAGCUACGGUCGUCAAAAACCACCUCCUUCUACAGCAGCCAACAACAACCACCAUCCCACCGUCAACAAAAUCAUUCCAGCUCUUCGACUAGUUCUGAGAUUUGAUUUUCUUUUUUCUUCACCCAUAAACUUUAUCUCCACCACUAGAAACAACCACCUCUUUCUAUUAAUCCAAGCUCCGCAUUUUCAAAUAGUCCCAAAAUUCUAGGAUUUUUUCUCUACUAAGCUCGACUACCACUUCUUGUUCUCACAGAGCCCUAAUUCUAGGUUUUUGCUUGACUCUCGCGAAUUUUCUGAUUUACAUUCUUCUUUUAUUUUUUUGCAAUUUCUCAAUAGUUGAUCCAUAAUUUGCAAAUUUCAUUAGUGAGGAAGAAAUUACAACUGGUAGUUGUAGGAUAAAUCGCAAGAACUGCUUUGGCAGACUUGCGAGUCCCGUAACUCAGCUAUAUUUUCUGUAUAACCUUAGCUUUUGGUGGUUUAUUGGAGCUUGAACAUCCAAGUUUGUGCAGGUGGAGUGGAUCACGAAAUGGAAGAUGAUGGCAAUGAAGAACUAGACCUUACUUGAGAUGAAUUUUGAAUUGCUAUGAUGAAAGUUCUAGGAAUCUUUUGUUAUCAACAUUUUGAAACUUACUCUCUAGAAAUGUAUUAAACUUAUGCACUUGGGGUAACGUUUGCUUUAUGAAUAUUAUUAGCUUGAUGGAUUAUUUAUAUGAUUAAUAGUUUUA
Nicotiana tabacum (common tobacco) is the source of this 882-nucleotide long non-coding RNA. RefSeq lists it as uncharacterized. Lineage: Eukaryota; Viridiplantae; Streptophyta; Magnoliopsida; Solanales; Solanaceae. The record is from RefSeq and is a predicted model, not a curated record.